UGAUUGCUUGUUUGUGUGCUAAGUCCAAAGGAAAGGAGCAUCUUGAGUCAUCUCUAUGACUUCAAGAAAAGGAACUCCAAGGGUUUUAUCUUUCCCCUCUUAAUGUUUGAUUGCUUGUUUGUGUGCUAAGUCCAAAGGAAAGGAGCAUCUUGAGUCAUCUCUAUGACUUCAAGAAAAGGAACUCCAAGGGUUUUAUCUUUCCCCUCUUAUCUUUGUAUGCUUUAGGAAUA
Molecule: long non-coding RNA, 230 nt
Filed under: Lathyrus oleraceus (garden pea)
Lineage: Eukaryota; Viridiplantae; Streptophyta; Magnoliopsida; Fabales; Fabaceae
Description: Pisum sativum (pea) long non-coding RNA (PSAT_LNC035990)
Source: RNAcentral